RNAcentral lists this ribosomal RNA (305 nucleotides) under uncultured bacterium. RNAcentral describes it as "bacterial SSU rRNA". It matches the Rfam family "Bacterial small subunit ribosomal RNA", at positions 333 to 655 of the family's 1533-position model. The record is from RNAcentral.
UGUGGCCUACGGGGCGCAGCAGUGGGGAAUAUUGGACAAUGGGGGAAACCCUUAUCCAGCGACGCCGCGUGAGGGAAGAAGGUUUUCGGAUUGUAAACCUCUGUCAGUGGGGACGAUAAUGACGGUACCCACGGAGGAAGCCACGGCUAACUACGUGCCAGCAGCCGCGAUAAUACGUAGGUGGCAAGCGUUGUCCGGAUUUACUGGGUGUAAAGGGAGCGUAGACGGUUAUGUAAGUCUGGAGUGAAAGCCCGGGGCCCAACCCCGGGACUGCUUUGGAAACUGUGUAACUGGAGUACAGGAGG